CUUUUGUUUCGAUUUCAUUAAUUUCAGCUCUGCUUUUAAUUAUUUCUUGCCUUCUACUUCUUUUGCUCUUCUUUUUCUAGGAUUUUGAGAUGAAGUGUGAGAUCAUUUAUUUGUUGGUUUUUUCUUUUUUUAAGGAAUGAACUCCAGGCAAUGAAUUUUCCUCUUAUUUUUAAAAAAGAAUUAUCUAAUGUAAGCUGGGUGUGGUGGCNCAGAUUUUAGAGGGAAUGCCUUCAAUUUUUCUCCAUUCAGAAUGAUGCUAGCCUGAGGCUUAGCAUAGAUAGCUUUUACAAUAUUGAGGUAUGUUCCUGUUAUCCCUAGUUUUUCUAGAGUUUUGAACAUAAAGGGAUGCUGUACUUUGUCGAAUGCUUUUUCUGCAUCUAUCGAGAUGAUCAUAUGGUUCUUAUCUUUAAGUCUAUUGAUGUGGUGAAUAACAUUUAUUGAUUUCCGUAUAUUGAACCAGCCUUGCAUCCCAGGGAUGAAUCCUACUUGAUCAUGGUGCACAAUUUUUUUGAUAUGUUUUUGUAUCCGAUUCGCCAGAAUUUUAUUGAGGAUUUUUGCAUCUAGGUUCAUUAGAGAUAUUGGUCUGUAGUUUUCUUUCUUUGAAGUGUCUUUGUCUGGUUUAGGAAUCAGGGUGAUGUUGGCCUCGUAGAAUGAAUUUGGAAGUUCUCCCUCUUUUUCUAUUUCCUGAAAUAGCUUGAAAAGUAUUGGUAUUAGUUCUUCUUUAAAGGUUUUGUAAAACUCUGCUGUAUACCCAUCCGGUCCUGGGCUUUUCUUAGUUGGUAGUCUUUUGAUGGCUUCUUCUAUUUCCUCAAUUGAUAUUGGUCUGUUUAGGUUGUCUAUAUCCUCCUGACUCAAUCUGGGCAGAUCAUAUGACUUAAGAAAUUUAUCGAUGCCUUCACUAUUUUCUAUUUUAUUGGAGUAUAAGGAUUCAAAAUAAUUUCUAAUUAUCUUCUGUAUUUCUGAAGUGUCUGUUGUGAUAUUGCCUUUUUCAUCCCGUAUGCUAGUAAUUUGAGUUCUCUCUCUUCUUCUCUUCGUUAGCAUGGCUAAGGGUCUGUCGAUCUUAUUUAUUUUUUCAAAGAACCAACUUUUAGUUUUGUCCAUUUUUUCAAUUGUUUCUUUUGUUUCGAUUUCAUUAAUUUCAGCUCUGCUUUUAAUUAUUUCUUGCCUUCUACUUCUUUUGCUCUUCUUUUUCUAGGAUUUUGAGAUGAAGUGUGAGAUCAUUUAUUUGUUGGUUUUUUCUUUUUUUAAGGAAUGAACUCCAGGCAAUGAAUUUUCCUCUUAUUUUUAAAAAAGAAUUAUCUAAUGUAAGCUGGGUGUGGUGGCACAUUCCUGUAACCCCAGCAGCUUGGGAGACUGAGGCAAGAGGAUCAGGAUCGUAAGUUCAAAGCCAACCUCAGCAAAAGUGAGGCGUUCAGAGACCCUGUCUCUAAAUAAAAUACAAAAUAGGAUUGGGGAUGUGGUUCAGUGGUCAAGUGCCCCUGAAUUCAAUCCCUGGUACCCACUCCCCAGAAAAAGAGUUGUCUAAUGUAGAAACAUGUUCAGUAAGUAGGGGAGCAUAGGCUGUAUUUUAUGUUUUAUCUUGUGAUGACUUAGUACCUUAGUUUUUAGUGGGACUUGUGCUAUAUUUGAGUUGUUUUUGUUUUGUUUUUCCCCCUGUAAAGAACUGACUGAAGAGCUGAGGUUGUGGCUUAGUGGUAGAGCACUUACCUAGCACAUGUGAGGCUAGGUUCAAUCCUCAGCACCACUUAAAAAUAAGUAAAUAAAAUAAAGGUAUUGUGUCCUUCUACAACUGAAAAAAAAAAAGGCAAAACAAAAAUCUCACUGAGCCACAGGAGAUGUAGAAGCACACUAAUAACUGCAGGGUAUAUUUGGACUAGCCACCUGAGUUUACACAGGCCACAUCAAGACCAAUAGAGGUGGCCUUAAUGUGCAGUCAUGCACCAUAUGACAUCAUUUUGGUCAGUGACAGAUCAUAUAUAUGACAGUGGUCCCAAAGAUAAUAAUGAACUAAAAAUUGCUAUCACCUAGUGUGUCGCAGCCAUAGUAGCUCAACAGCACAAGGUAUUACCCUUGUGUUUGUGGAAAAGCUGGUGUAAACAAAUCUGUACUUCCAGUUUAAUAGAAGGAUAGCACAUAAAAUCAUAUAUACUGUAAAAAAAUCAUAUAUAGUAUGUAAUACUUGAUAAUAAAUGUUACUGAUGUAUGUAUUCAUUCUAUAUCCUUUUUAUAUGUGGGUGUGUUACUGGGGAUGGAACCCAGGGGCACUGUGCCACCCAGCUAUAUCCCCAGCCUCUCUUUUAAUUUUAUUUUGAGAUAUGGUCAAGUUGCCCAGGCUGAUCUCAACCUUGCUAUCUUCCUGCCUCAGCUUCGUGUUGCUGUAUAUAUUUUUAUCAGUACUUUUAAACCGUAUUCCUGCUUAUUAAGAGAAAGUUUGCUGUGCAGCAGCCCAUACAUCUUGUAUUUCCUGAAUCUCUGGACUGCGCCAUUUUCUUUUGUACUUCAUGUAAUCUCGCGUUGCUGUGUUCAUUGUAGCCUCAGGAGCCAAGAGCCGUACUCCACACACAGCAUACAACCUAAGUGUGUAGCAGGCUAUUCCAUUUAAGUGUGUGUAAAUACACUAUGAUAACUGCACAAUGAUGAAAUUGCCUUAAUGAUGUGUUUCUCAGGCCACAUCCCAUUGUUAAAUGGGAUGACUAUAUAAAGAAAUAUUGUAAACUAGGCACAAUGGUGCACACCUGUAAUCCCAGCAGCUUGGGAGGCUGAGGCAGGAAGAUUAUAAGUUUGAAGCCAGCCUCAGCAAAUUGGUGAGACUCUGUCUCUAAAUAAAAAAUCAAAAGGGCUGGGGUUAAGCACCCCUGGGUUCAAUACAGAUACCAAAAAAAAAAAAAAGAAAGAACUGUUGUAAAUAGGAAGUUUUAAUGUACCAGUAGAAAAAAAGGAAAAGGUCCCAAAAGAUCACAGAGGUAACAGUAAAAAUACAAAUGGUAGUAAAAGCAUGAGUCUGAAUAAACAUGGAUAUGUUAUAUAUUCUGAAAAUCAGUUCCUUUGGCCUAUCCACCUGGCUAAGCACUUUUUAAAUUAUUUAGUUCAGGUAAGAGUGAAGUGAAACUGAGACUCCUGUGCUGCCAUUGGGAGGUGAAAUUGGUGCAACAUUUCUAAUUAGUAAUUCUAGGAGAGUUUGCCUUUGGAAUCUUAAAAAUGUUCAUAUCCCAUGCCUUUUGACCCAGC
Molecule: long non-coding RNA, 3228 nt
Filed under: Marmota monax (woodchuck)
Lineage: Eukaryota; Metazoa; Chordata; Mammalia; Rodentia; Sciuridae
Source: RNAcentral